GACAGAGGAUGCAAGCGUUAUCCGGAAUGAUUGGGCGUAAAGCGUCUGUAGGUGGCUUUUCAAGUCCGCCGUCAAAUCCCAGGGCUCAACCCUGGACAGGCGGUGGAAACUACCAAGCUGGAGUACGGUAGGGGCAGAGGGAAUUUCCGGUGGAGCGGUGAAAUGCAUUGAGAUCGGAAGGAACGCCCGUGGCGAAAGCGAGUCCCUGGACCCUUUCUGACGCUGAGACGCGAAAGCCAGGGGAGCGAACGGG
RNAcentral lists this ribosomal RNA (253 nucleotides) under uncultured bacterium. Its description in RNAcentral is "partial 16S ribosomal RNA". It matches the Rfam family "Bacterial small subunit ribosomal RNA", at positions 524 to 776 of the family's 1533-position model. The record is from RNAcentral.